UACGGAGGGGGCUAGCGUUGUUCGGAAUUACUGGGCGUAAAGCGCACGUAGGCGGAUCGGUAAGUUGGGGGUGAAAUCCCAGGGCUCAACCCUGGAAUUGCCUUCAAAACUCCCGGUCUAGAGUUCGAGAGAGGUGAGUGGAAUUCCGAGUGUAGAGGUGAAAUUCGUAGAUAUUCGGAGGAACACCAGUGGCGAAGGCGGCUCACUGGCUCGAUACUGACGCUGAGGUGCGAAAGCGUGGGGAGCAAACAGG
RNAcentral lists this ribosomal RNA (253 nucleotides) under uncultured bacterium. RNAcentral describes it as "partial 16S ribosomal RNA". It matches the Rfam family "Bacterial small subunit ribosomal RNA", at positions 524 to 776 of the family's 1533-position model. The record is from RNAcentral.